RNAcentral lists this ribosomal RNA (497 nucleotides) under uncultured bacterium. Its description in RNAcentral is "partial 16S ribosomal RNA". It matches the Rfam family "Bacterial small subunit ribosomal RNA", at positions 28 to 507 of the family's 1533-position model. The record is from RNAcentral.
GAUGAACGCUGGCGGCGUGCCUAAUACAUGCAAGUCGAGCGAACAGAUCAGGAGCUUGCUCCUUUGACGUUAGCGGCGGACGGGUGAGUAACACGUGGGUAACCUACCUAUAAGACUGGAAUAACUCCGGGAAACCGGGGCUAAUGCCGGAUAACAUGUUGAACCGCAUGGUUCUACAGUGAAAGGCGGCUUUGCUGUCACUUAUAGAUGGACCCGCGCCGUAUUAGCUAGUUGGUGAGGUAACGGCUCACCAAGGCAACGAUACGUAGCCGACCUGAGAGGGUGAUCGGCCACACGGGAAGUGAGACACGGUCAAGACUCCUACGGGAGGCAGCAGUAGGGAAUCUGCCGCAGUGGGCGAGAGCCUGACGGAGCAACGCCGCGUGAGUGAUGAAGGUCUUCGGAGCGUAAAACUCGGUUAUGAGGGAAGAACCAAUGCGUAAGUAACUGUGCGCGUCUUGACGGUACCUAAUCAGAAAGCCACGGCUAACUACGUG